UUUUUUUUGUUCGAUUUUGUUGGUACAAUAUCUAAUUGAAUUGACUUCAAUUUGAAUGAACUAAUUUAAAAAAUCAACCGAACCCCAUCUAAACAAACAAAGAUCAAAUAUGUACCAUAGUGGUUAACUAGUUCGAUCUGGAUUCUAGCCAUUUGCAUGCCUUGUUCUAAGAUCUAUAUAGAAAGCCACAAAAUGCUUCAAAUUAACUAUAUAUACCAUCUUGCAACCCAGCGGUAUGAAGACCUUUUUGUGGACAUGAGUCAACCAAGACAAGUUAGGAGAAUAAUUAUUUAUUAGAAAUAUAAUUGUGUUUUCUAAUUUAGUUAGGAGUUCUUUAUUAUUCCUUGUAUCACAAGAUAUAUUUCCUAUAUAAUGCCUCCUAAAGGGAGAAGAAUAAGAUAACGAUUAAACCCUAAACACAUAUACUUUUAUUUUAGCAUUAAAGCAGGUUUCGACUUUUCUCUUCCUCUAAACUCUAUUCUUGUUCACUGCCGACUUGGGUGCUUUUCUGUUGGCUGUUUAGCAGCUGUUUGGAACCAAUCACAGAAGUCUUGAAACAAGAAACCUCUGUUAAAAUCCCAAACCCAGGUCUCGAAACAAGAGACCAGACCUCUGUUAAAACCCAAACCUAGAAAAUUAAAACUUAAACCACAACUUGCCGCUUUAAUGACAGACAACCAAACUGUCGUCCCCAUCGUGGGAUGCUUGCAUAA
RNAcentral lists this long non-coding RNA (713 nucleotides) under Malus domestica (apple). Its description in RNAcentral is "long non-coding RNA (MDOM_LNC011867)". Lineage: Eukaryota; Viridiplantae; Streptophyta; Magnoliopsida; Rosales; Rosaceae. The record is from RNAcentral.